CAAACCAAAGCUGGCGACCGGCGCACGGGUGAGUAACACGUAUCCAACCUGCCUCAUACUCGGGGAUAGCCUUUCGAAAGAAAGGUUAAUAUCCGAUAGCAUAUAUUUCCCGCAUGGGUUUUAUAUUAAAGAAAUUCGGUAUGAGAUGGGGAUGCGUUCCAUUAGUUUGUUGGGGGGGUAACGGCCCACCAAGCCUUCGAUGGAUAGGGGUUCUGAGAGGAAGGUCCCCCACAUUGGAACUGAGACACGGUCCAA
This 255-nucleotide ribosomal RNA is filed under the name uncultured bacterium. Its description in RNAcentral is "partial 16S ribosomal RNA". It matches the Rfam family "Bacterial small subunit ribosomal RNA", at positions 74 to 334 of the family's 1533-position model. The record is from RNAcentral.